Molecule: long non-coding RNA, 390 nt
Filed under: Sus scrofa (pig)
Lineage: Eukaryota; Metazoa; Chordata; Mammalia; Artiodactyla; Suidae
Description: lncRNA (ENSSSCG00040016541.1)
Source: RNAcentral
GUACGGCAAUGGCAAAGAAAAAGCCAACUACUAAGCCUGUCUGUCUACCACAUUACUUUAUUGGCUUCCAAAUAAACCCAAUCCUAGGGGACAAAAGAUGUGAAUCCAUAUCAGAAGAGAGAGGCAGUUCUGGAUUCCUGAGGUAUUCAUUGAAGACUGAGUAAGUGUGGAGUUUCCAUCAUGGCUCAGUGGUAAUGAAUCCGACUAGUAUCCAUGAGGACCCAAAUUCGAUCUCUGCCCUCACUCAGUGGAUUAAGGAUCCAGUGUUGCUAUGAGCAGUGGUGUAAGGUUGCAGAUGCAGCUCGGAUCUUGCAUAGGCCAGCAGCUGCAGCUCUUUAUUGGACUCCUGCAUGUGCUACAGGUGCAGCUCUAAAAAGCAAAACCAAAACC